Molecule: ribosomal RNA, 305 nt
Filed under: uncultured bacterium
Lineage: Bacteria
Description: bacterial SSU rRNA
Rfam family: Bacterial small subunit ribosomal RNA
Source: RNAcentral
UGUGCCUACGGGGGGCAGCAGUGAGGAAUAUUGGUCAAUGGUCGGGAGACUGAACCAGCCAAGCCGCGUGAGGGAUGAAGGUACAGAGUAUCGUAAACCUCUUUUGUCAGGGAACAAAGGCGGGGACGUGUCCCCGAAUGAGUGUACCUGAAGAAAAAGCAUCGGCUAACUCCGUGCCAGCAGCCGCGGUAAUACGGAGGGCGCGAGCGUUAAUCGGAAUUACUGGGCGUAAAGCGCGCGUAGGCUGUUGUGUAAGUUGGGGGUGAAAUCCCACGGCUCAACCGUGGAACAGCCCUUGAUACUGC